This 253-nucleotide ribosomal RNA is filed under the name uncultured bacterium. RNAcentral's name for it is "partial 16S ribosomal RNA". It matches the Rfam family "Bacterial small subunit ribosomal RNA", at positions 524 to 776 of the family's 1533-position model. The record is from RNAcentral.
UACGGAGGGUGCAAGCGUUGUUCGGAAUUAUUGGGCGUAAAGGGUGUGUAGGUGGUUGUGUUAGUCUUUUGUCAAAGCCUUCGGCUUAACCGAAGAUCUGCAAAAGAAACGGCACGACUAGAGGAUGCGAGAGGUGAAUGGAACUCAUGGAGUAGGGGUGAAAUCCGUUGAUAUCAUGGGGAACACCAAAUGCGAAGGCAAUUCACUGGCGCACUCCUGACACUGAGACACGAAAGCGUAGGUAGCGAAUGGG